CCUACGGGAGGCAGCAGUGGGGAAUUUUCCGCAAUGGGCGAAAGCCUGACGGAGCAAGACCGCGUGGGGGAAGAAGGCUCUUGGGUUGUAAACCCCUUUUCUCUGGGAAGAACAAAAUGACGGUACCAGAGGAAUCAGCAUCGGCUAACUCCGUGCCAGCAGCCGCGGUAAGACGGAGGAUGCAAGCGUUAUCCGGAAUGAUUGGGCGUAAAGCGUCCGCAGGUGGCAGUUCAAGUCUGCUGUCAAAGACCGGGGCUUAACCUCGGAAAGGCAGUGGAAACUGAACAGCUAGAGUAUGGUAGGGGCAAAGGGAAUUCCUGGUGUAGCGGUGAAAUGCGUAGAGAUCAGGAAGAACAUCGGUGGCGAAGGCGCUUUGCUGGACCAUAACUGACACUCAGGGACGAAAGCUAGGGGAGCGAAUGGGAUUAGAUACCCCAGUAGUCCUAGCCGUAAACGAUGGAUACUAGGUGUUGUCUGUAUCGACCCGGACAGUGCCGUAGCUAACGCGUUAAGUAUCCGCCUGGGAGUCGCACGCAAGUGNGAACUAANGAUGCGNUGAGAGNGCGAGACGACGACGAGGAGAGG
Molecule: ribosomal RNA, 585 nt
Filed under: uncultured bacterium
Lineage: Bacteria
Description: bacterial SSU rRNA
Rfam family: Bacterial small subunit ribosomal RNA (bases 1-521)
Source: RNAcentral